Long non-coding RNA from Gadus morhua (Atlantic cod), 790 nucleotides. RefSeq lists it as uncharacterized. NCBI's taxonomy places the organism in Eukaryota, Metazoa, Chordata, Actinopteri, Gadiformes, Gadidae. The transcript has 3 exons. The record is from RefSeq and is a predicted model, not a curated record.
AAAUGCUCACCCUCUUUAAAACCAGGUAGCCGUUUCGAAAGCGACCAGGCAAAACUACCCGAGAGUCAAGUCAAGCCUUUCAAGAGCGGAUAUAUUGUCUGUGCACCGAAGUACGGAGAAUACCAAAUCACGUACGUUAAUUAAUCAAUUAAUCUUCCCUCACAGACACAUAAUACAUGGGGAUAUGCACACAGAUCCUCAUUACCAGUGCACAGAAGGGAAUCUCUACAUGAUCUUUGAGUAGCAGAUCCUGCUAAAUGCAAAAACAGAAACGGGAGAGAUUAGCUCACAGGCACUGGGCAUGGGUCUUUUUUUUUUGGAGAGAGCGAGGACGAACAGUCUGGCUUACACUCUAAUGAAAAAUCAACGCCAGAGAACAACGGACCAGCAGAGGGACUUGUUUACUCUGCAGAUAUAAAGAAACACUGUAAGCCUCUAAGCUCUCCAUGCUGGGCUUUGUGGAGCCAAUACAGGGACGAGCGGCAAAAGAAUAUGCUACACGUAGUCGACCCGAAGCAUUAAGAGGGAGAAGCCCCCCCGGCCAGCCUGGACCGAGGGUUCGAAGCUCAUAUGUUUACACUGACGUCCCUUCUACACACCAUUUGUUUUAAAGACCGACUGAUGCUCAGCCAUGCCCGGCCUGGAACCCAGAAGCCCUGGGGGUUGCCACUGGUGAUCCGGUAGGACAGCUUGUCACUGGCCUUGGCGUCAGGGUCGACGGCCUCUAUCUGGAUGAUGGACACGUCCUUGGGGGAGUUCUCCAUCACCGAGGGGUAGUAGACCGGCUCCG